RNAcentral lists this ribosomal RNA (844 nucleotides) under Kocuria flava. RNAcentral's name for it is "bacterial SSU rRNA". It matches the Rfam family "Bacterial small subunit ribosomal RNA", at positions 443 to 1297 of the family's 1533-position model. Lineage: Bacteria; Bacillati; Actinomycetota; Actinomycetes; Micrococcales; Micrococcaceae. The record is from RNAcentral.
GGAAGAAGCCACAAGUGACGGUACCUGCAGAAGAAGCGCCGGCUAACUACGUGCCAGCAGCCGCGGUAAUACGUAGGGCGCAAGCGUUGUCCGGAAUUAUUGGGCGUAAAGAGCUCGUAGGCGGUUUGUCGCGUCUGCUGUGAAAGCCCGGGGCUCAACCCCGGGUCUGCAGUGGGUACGGGCAGACUAGAGUGCAGUAGGGGAGACUGGAAUUCCUGGUGUAGCGGUGAAAUGCGCAGAUAUCAGGAGGAACACCGAUGGCGAAGGCAGGUCUCUGGGCUGUUACUGACGCUGAGGAGCGAAAGCAUGGGGAGCGAACAGGAUUAGAUACCCUGGUAGUCCAUGCCGUAAACGUUGGGCACUAGGUGUGGGGGACAUUCCACGUUCUCCGCGCCGUAGCUAACGCAUUAAGUGCCCCGCCUGGGGAGUACGGCCGCAAGGCUAAAACUCAAAGGAAUUGACGGGGGCCCGCACAAGCGGCGGAGCAUGCGGAUUAAUUCGAUGCAACGCGAAGAACCUUACCAAGGCUUGACAUCCACCGGACCGCACUGGAGACAGUGCUUCCCUUCGGGGCUGGUGGACAGGUGGUGCAUGGUUGUCGUCAGCUCGUGUCGUGAGAUGUUGGGUUAAGUCCCGCAACGAGCGCAACCCUCGUUCUAUGUUGCCAGCACGUGAUGGUGGGGACUCAUAGGAGACUGCCGGGGUCAACUCGGAGGAAGGUGGGGAUGACGUCAAAUCAUCAUGCCCCUUAUGUCUUGGGCUUCACGCAUGCUACAAUGGCCGGUACAAAGGGUUGCGAUACUGUGAGGUGGAGCUAAUCCCAAAAAGCCGGUCUCAGUUCGGA